CGCUUAGAGUUAGAGCCCGUCUGCUUCACUCCACGUGUUGUAUACUUUUAUACCACGUUAUACACGUUCCGCAAUUAUACUUCACACUUCAUACAGAAAUCAUACGUACUUUCAUCAUGGUCCGACAUGCACACGCUAAAGUUGAACAAUAUACCAUCGAAAGGAAAGAAAAUUGGAUGGCAAUGCUUAAAGGUAUGAUCAAAUCCGUAGGUGAUACUAAUGAAGAUUUGACAAUUGCGCUCGAAAAGUUGUGCCAAUCCAAAAAAGUACCCAGGAGAUGGAUAAAGUUAAACAAGCCUAAAUUUGUGAAAUUUUUGAAAUACCUUCGUUACAAGAUUGAUCCAAAGGUAGCAGACCAGAUGUGGGAGAUGUUUUCCAAAGCUCUUGAAGUAGAAAAAAAGAAAGAGGAAAAGAAAAAAGCCCCUAAAGUCACAGAAAAAACAGCAAGUGAAGAAAAAAUGGAAAAUUGACAUACCCUUGUGACAAUCCAAUUACUGAAUAAUAAAAGGACAGAAAGCUGAAAAAGUUAUUCGAGAUUAAGUCUUUUUUUCCUGAAUUUUGUGUGACAUCAUGCUUUUCUCUUUGCUUAAUUCCAGGCAAGCAUCGCUUAACCAAUAAAAAUAUUGAUUUCUUUGCUA
Molecule: long non-coding RNA, 638 nt
Organism: Daphnia carinata
Lineage: Eukaryota; Metazoa; Arthropoda; Branchiopoda; Diplostraca; Daphniidae
Exons: 2
Source: RefSeq, a predicted model, not a curated record